GACGAACGCUGGCGGCGUGCUUAACACAUGCAAGUCGAGCGGAAAGGCCCUUCGGGGUACUCGAGCGGCGAACGGGUGAGUAACACGUGAGUAACCUGCCCUUGGCUCUGGGAUAAGCCCGGGAAACUGGGUCUAAUACCGGAUAUGACUCCCUGCCGCAUGGUGGGGGGUGGAAAGUUUUUCGGCUGGGGAUGGACUCGCGGUCUAUCAGCUUGUUGGUGGGGUAAUGGCCUACCAAGGCGACGACGGAUAGCCGGCCUGAGAGGGUGACCGGCCACACUGGGACUGAGACACGGCCCAGACUCCUACGGGAGGCAGCAGUGGGGAAUAUUGCGCAAUGGGCGAAAGCCUGACGCAGCGACGCCGCGUGGGGGAUGAAGGCCUUCGGGUUGUAAACCUCUUUCACCACCGACGAAGCUAACGUGACGGUAGGUGGGGAAG
RNAcentral lists this ribosomal RNA (441 nucleotides) under bacterium Ellin5291. RNAcentral describes it as "bacterial SSU rRNA". It matches the Rfam family "Bacterial small subunit ribosomal RNA", at positions 28 to 487 of the family's 1533-position model. Lineage: Bacteria; Bacillati; Actinomycetota; Actinomycetes; Streptosporangiales; Nocardiopsidaceae. The record is from RNAcentral.